UAACACUUCGUUCUGAUGCUAAGUUAGCUAAGACUUCUAAACCACAUAUGGUAAACAAAAAAGCUUUGUGAACAAUUUAUUGCUUAGUAAAAUGUUCAACACAUCUUAACCUAAGCUCUAAAAAAAGAGUACAUAGACAUACUCUACGGAACAUCCCACAACACCAAUGAUUUAUAUUGUUUAUCUAGCUAGGAAACUAGGCAACAGAGAUAGUCAAUCACAAGUGACUAAAUAAGGUGCCAGCAGUCGCGGUUACACCUAAUCUUGAAGCUAAUUCGCACAAUAAAAGAGGCCUGAUACAUAAUCGAUCCCAGUUUUACUUGUAAAAGUGAAAUUUCUACUUCUAUAAAACAUCCAAAUAGAUCCUAUUUCUAAGCCUCAACAAACCACACUACAAAACAGGGAUUAGAUACCCCACUAUUGCGUGGCCCAACAUAAUAAAUACUAAAAACGAAAGUUUCAAACUUAAAGAACGUGGCGGUGUUCUACACCUCAUUAGGGGAUCCUGUGGCUUAAUUCGAUAAUCCACGACUAAUAAAGCUUUAUUAGUUCACAGCUUAUGUAUGGCCGUCUUAUGCCUGCACACUAAUGUUAUAACAGGAGACAACUCAAAGGUAACCCUUUAAUAAUACAGGUGACAUAUAGCCUAUAUAAAGCAGCUCAUGGGAUACAAAUAAUCAUUAUUAUCCGAAGGUAACUUGAAACUGUUACAAAAAGGAGGACUUAAAAGUAAGAUCAAAACAAUACUUUGAUCUGAACAAGAUCUAGAACGCGCACAAAUCGCCCGUCACUCCCGGGUCCAAUCGGGACAAGUCGUAACACAGUGGGGGUAACGGAAGUUGCCCCUAAA
RNAcentral lists this non-coding RNA (850 nucleotides) under Lamprotula gottschei. The record is from RNAcentral. Lineage: Eukaryota; Metazoa; Mollusca; Bivalvia; Unionida; Unionidae.